AUUUUUUUAUAUAUAUAUCGAAUGGCUGUAAAAGUUGUUGCAUUUUUGUACUUGUUUGCUGAUUUGAUUUCUGUUUUGCUCGCUUUGAUUUUGAAAAUAUCUGCCUUUAUGCCAUUCAUGUCAUGGAAAAGCGAGACAAACUAAGAGUUAAGAGAGCUGGAAUUUGGGGGAGGGGGGGGUGUUAAUUAAAGAUUAGUGCCAAUUUAAAAUGAUUUUAGAGAUUGGAAUUUUGUUGGGUUUUUGUAGCUUUCAAAAUCAGAGUUAAACGUAGAUGAAGUUGAGUGGUAAAGUUGUGAUCUUUUUCAAGUUAGAAAUUAGAAUCACCUGAAAAGAUUGGUUAAGUUUCAAUCUUUGAUCAAGAACCAAUGUAGACAGAACGCAAGCUGGCACCUUUAAUCAGUGUGGUUUGGCAAAUUUGUUUGGAUAAGGAAUGAUAGUUUAAACUUUGGACAUCAAUAACAUGUUCUACGUUUGUUAUCAGACUAGACAGUGGCACCCCUGGGAAGUUGAAGUUGAAAAUGCACGACUUAGCCUGUAUAAAAUGCACCAAGCCCUGGGUUAGAGUCAGAAGCGUGCUGGAUUCUGUUUUAUGAUGAGUGCCGGGCAGGGAACUUAGUUUGGAUGCCUCUGCAUCACAAUCAGUUUAGCUGUAGUAUGAAGAGAUUGUGUGCUAGGAAGUUUCUUCUUUAGAUUGAAAAAUCUCUUUUAUGUUGUCAUUGACAACGGUGUAAAGCAUUGGUAGUCUAGCCAUUUCAUCCCCGGAAUGAGCAGAGCUACAGUAUAAGAGGGUCCACUAACAGGAGCGAGUAGAGAAGUUUACUAUUGAAAUAAAAAGGCUAGUUGUCGCUUAAGCUAGUACUUUCCUCAGGUACCAACAAGUGCGCGGUUCCUCUGCUGACAAAAGAAAGCUCACUAAUCUCGACUAAGAAAGAGAUUCGUUCAUUUUAGUACAGGGAAAGAGAUGAGGGUUUGUACCAACUAAGAAGUUAUUACAGACUGGAGAAAAGCCCAGACUAUUAUAGUUCACAAAUCGAAGCAGAAAGGGAACGGACUGGUGUCAGACUUAAAAGUCCAAGCACGAGCUAGUAGAAGUUGCUAGUUCUUCUUUACAUUGAAAAAUCUCUUUUUUAAAAGAAGUUCUUUAUAUUGCCAUUGACAAUGGUGUAAAGCAUCGGUACCAUUUUCGCAGAUGCAUUGCAUGAAUGCCUUGCAUGGCAUGCUGCUUUUUAGGAAGUUCAAUUCACUUAGUGUGAUGAUCUGUUGAAGCAUAGUUAUGUUUCCUGGUUCCGUGAUCUAAAAAAUGACAUAAAUUCUCCAAUUUUGUUGCCUAUAGCUCUGUUGAAUCAUAGUAUUAGUUAUGUUUCAUUAUGCCAUAAUAUGAUCAUGACAUAACAUUCACCAAUUCAGCUUCCUGUAGCCCAAUUGGAAUUUUUGCUAUUCUAGAGAGCUAGUUUUUACAUGCCAGAACAUUAGCAGCUUAUAGAUUUACAUAAAUAGUUGAGCUGUCAAAGAUAUUCAACUUGCGUUGUUGUCCAUGGUAUUUGCUUCCUUCUCUUAUACACGUAUCUGAAUCUUUUCUGGUUUGAACGGAAAGACAAUUUUGCCAACCAUUGCUUUUUCUGAUUUGCGAGCGGUUAGUCUAUUGUAUCAAACACUUAAAAAAAGAAUCCUUUGAAUGAAAUGUGCCAUAAAUAAGAGAAGUUUUGGAAAGCAGUGAAAUAAGAAAGAUUCCACCUGAAUUUCAUACAAAAUGAAUAGGAGGUGGUCGAACUCGACCAAGCUCUCUGAAAGUCCAUGAUUGAGCAUCUUCACAGGUCAGUAUAUGGGAACACAAAAAUGCCACUAGAUUUGUAAGUUUCCAAGCAGUCGAAGUAAAAUGCCAGAUAGCUGUCCUUCUCUUUUUUGGAGAUUUUUGUUUGCUUUCUACGUUCUUAUACUUACUGCUUCAAAGGAAAAAUAAAUUCUAUUUAGAUGUAUUUAGCGGCAUGGAAUUGGGACUUUAAUGGCUCUUGUAGAUGUCCUGCAGGCAAUGCUUUUCUCAGUGGUGUUCUCUUAUGUUUUAUUUUAACAGAUCAGUGUUCCAUUUCCUUGGUAUUCAGAAAAGGCUCGGAAGUAUGCCAUCAGAAUCUGAUAAGUGGGGAUGGGAACAUGUUAGCGUGUUUGGUGGAUUUGACAGGGGAAGUGGUACAAAAAGGUGGAAAUGUAACCACUGUAAUCUACGAUAUAAUGGGUCUUAUUCACGUGUCAGGGCUCACCUACUAGGGUUCUCAGGUGUUGGGGUCAAAAGCUGCCCUGCUAUAGACAGGUCUUUACGAGAAGCAUUUCAGGUCCUAGAAGAGGAGCGUGUUUCACAGAAGAAGAAAAAGAAUUCUGUCAUUGGGAAGCCUUGUAAACGCACUCGGACUUCUCAGCCAACUCUUGCCUGGAAAACCAUCACAAAAGAAGAUAUAGAUGACAUAGUAGCUAGAUUUUUUUAUGCUGAUGGAUUAAAUAUUGAUAUCGUCAACUCUCCUUACUUUCGUGAAAUGGUGAAAGCAAUUGGUGCUUUUGGGUCUGGGUAUGAACUCCCAUCAAUAGAUAAGCUGUCUGAUUCUUUUUUAAGCAAAGAGAAAGCGAGGAUUGAAAAAUCAGUAGCUCUAGUUAGGGAGUCAUGGCCACAUACAGGAUGCACAAUACUGUGUGCCAGUCGCUUAGAUGGUGCAUUAGGUAGCAAACAUGUCAAUAUAUUUAUCUCCAGCCCAAGGGGACUUGUAUUUUUAAAGGCAGUUGAUGUCAAUGAUACUGACGAGGGAGAGCACGUGUUUAUUGGUGCUCUCGCUGAUACUAUUAUGGAAGUUGGCCCCACAAAUGUUCUUCAGAUAGUUUCACAUCUAGGCGAUGCAUGCAAAUCAUCUGAGUCCUAUUUAUCGUCAAAGUUCCCUAAUAUCUUCUGGUCUCCUUGCACUUCACACUCUGUCUUAAUGUUGAUGGAAGAAAUGGCCGAACUGGAAUGGAUAAAACCUGUUGUCUUGUGUGCCAAGGCAAUUGAGCAAUGCAUGAUCACAUAUCAACAUACUUCUUUGUGCACUUUUGGUCAAGAUUUGAAAGAGUUCUCUGAUCCAAUCUCUGCCAAAUUUGCACCUUCAUAUUGCUUUCUCCGGAGGGUCCUUGAGCUAAGGCAAUCACUCCAGGAUGUGGUUGCAAGUGAACACUGGAAGCAAUGGAAGAAUAAUAUGGCAGAGGAUACUGUAAAUGUUGAAUCUGCCAUUUUAGAUGAUGGUUUCUGGAGCAAGGCUGAUUUAUUGUUGCAGUUAUAUGAGCCUUUUGUAAGUUUGCUUGCUACAAUUGAUAUCGACAAAUCUGUUAUUGGUGCAGUUUAUGACUGGCGGGUUCAGGCACUUGAAGCCUUGAGGAGUCAGGCAAUUGAUGAUGGCAUAUUGAAUCAGUUAGAAGGACUGAUUGAGAACAGGUGGGAUGCUCUAUUUUCCCCUCUUCAUGCUGCAGGUUAUUUACUGAAUCCUAGAUAUAUUGGAAAAGGUCAAACAAAGGAUAAAUCUGUAAUGCGGGGCUGGAAGGCUACGCUAGAAAGAUAUGAGAGUGAAAGCACAGCCAGAUGUGUUCUCAGAGAGCAGCUCAGCUCAUACUGGCGUCUGGAAGGAUCCUUGGGAGAGGAAGAUGCCGUGGAUUGUAGGGAUAAAAUGGAUCCAGUUGUUUGGUGGGAAAACUUCGGUUUUGAAACACCCAACUUACAAACACUAGCCAUAAAGGUUCUGAGCCAGGUUUCAAGUGUUGCAAUGUGCGAAGAGAUUUGGCAAGCUAGUGACUUCUCAUGUCGAGAAUCAGCAAACAGGUUGGGAGAGCAGAGAAUGGAAGAUCUUUUUUUUGUUCGAAACAAUCUCAGGCUUCAUGGUCAAAGAAAUGGGAAUCUGUGCUUCUCAUCUGGCCAACGAAAUGCCUUUUCAAGCUCCUUUUCUGGAGUUAAGACAUGGGAUGGUCUGCAUCUUGAUCAAUCUAAUACAACGGUAGAUGUCCAUGACAAAUUAUGAAAUAGCUUGCUCCGUUUCUAAAUGGGCUCUGGACACCGACCAAAGUCGUGCAUCCAAUAAUCAGCAGGUUGCUCGUUAGCUACCUGCAUUCACUGGACUUUGCUGUGCACUAAUCAGGACGAUCUUUUUGAGUGACCAUCCAUCCCUCCCCCUUCGAUGUACAAAAGAAGAAACAGGAAUGGAGCAGCAAGAAAGGGUCAGUCUACUUUGUAUUUGUUGGCCACGACAACAUUAAAACAUGUUUGACUCUUGACCCUAAUCCACAUGUGGCAUAAAUCACGGUACCUAAAAUGUGUAUAAAUUUUGUUGUUUUAUGAGUGGUGGAGAGAGGUCAAUAUUAGAUUAUUAUUAUUAAUAUCAUUGCAGUUUAGAGGAAGGA
Populus nigra (black poplar) is the source of this 4404-nucleotide RNA transcript. RefSeq lists it as uncharacterized. NCBI's taxonomy places the organism in Eukaryota, Viridiplantae, Streptophyta, Magnoliopsida, Malpighiales, Salicaceae. The record is from RefSeq and is a predicted model, not a curated record. The transcript has 2 exons.